GAUGAAGAACGCAGCGAAAUGCGAUAAGUAAUGUGAAUUGCAGAAUUCAGUGAAUCAUCGAAUCUUUGAACGCACAUUGCGCCCGCCAGUAUUCUGGCGGGCAUGCCUGUUCGAGCGUCAUUUCAACCAUCAAGCCCCCGGCUUGUGUUGGGGACCUGCGGCUGCCGCAGGCCCUGAAAACCAGUGGCGGGCUCGCUAGUCACUCCGAGCGUAGUAAUACAUCUCGCUCAGGGCGUGCUGCGGGUUCCGGCCGUUAAAAAGCCUUAUUUACCCAAGGUUGACCUCGGAUCAGGUAGGAAUACCCGCUGAACUUAAGCAUAUCAAUAAGCGGAGGA
RNAcentral lists this unclassified non-coding RNA (335 nucleotides) under soil metagenome. RNAcentral's name for it is "partial contains 5.8S ribosomal RNA, internal transcribed spacer 2, and large subunit ribosomal RNA". The stretch from base 1 to 120 matches the Rfam family "5.8S ribosomal RNA", at positions 35 to 154 of the family's 154-position model. The record is from RNAcentral.